CCUACGGGAGGCAGCAGUGGGGAAUAUUGCACAAUGGGGGAAACCCUGAUGCAGCGACGCCGCGUUGGAGGAAGAAGGUCUUUCGGAUUGUAAACUCCUGUUGUUGAGGAAUGAUAAUGACGGUACUCAACAAGGAAGUGACGGCUAACUACGUGC
Molecule: ribosomal RNA, 156 nt
Filed under: uncultured bacterium
Lineage: Bacteria
Description: partial 16S ribosomal RNA
Rfam family: Bacterial small subunit ribosomal RNA
Source: RNAcentral